Molecule: long non-coding RNA, 264 nt
Filed under: Gossypium barbadense (sea-island cotton)
Lineage: Eukaryota; Viridiplantae; Streptophyta; Magnoliopsida; Malvales; Malvaceae
Description: long non-coding RNA (GBAR_LNC020241)
Source: RNAcentral
AGGUUCAUUCAUGUCAUGGAAUAAUGUAUAAAUAUUUGGUAUUGAUCAAUUGAACGGAAUACUUGUAUAGAUCAAGAAUUGGAUCAAACUGGAAGUAAUCAAGGAAAAGUCAAAAUUGUUGAUUAGUCCUUGAAGAAUCAACUUAUUUGGUGUUUUAGCCAGGUAAGUUCAUGGUAUUUAUUUACUUAGGUUGUUAAGUAUUUGAUUGGUAUAUAUAUACACGUUUGAUUGUGAAUUUAUUGGUAUGAAAGGUGAGAAUUGGAG